GUGAGGGAUCUCAUCGCUGUGACUCCUCGGAGACCUUGGCAGCCUCGCACGCCGGGGCACCGCUUGGGUCAGAAAGGACCUCGGAAGGCUGAAAAAGUGGGUCGGAGACGGGCUCGCAUUGUUCCCGCAUGCUGUCAGCCGCAGUCGCCAACUGGCAGCAGGCGACGUGUAGCAGAUGUCCGGGAGGACAAAGGCAGGCACGGUCCCCACCAGCCGCCCGUAAUUGACGGCCUUUGUCAGCCAUGGCAGAGCUGACGCUCCACCUCCCACCUCCAAGUCCUCCUCACUGCAGCCCCCACAGCCUCAGGCCUAGGGGGUCAGGCGCAGCGGGGGAGAUGGAGUUUGCAGUUCCACUUGCACUCUUUUGUUUAUUGUGUUUUAUUUUUCAAAAGUCGGUUGCUUUGAAGUCUCUUUGGCCAAUGAAAAUGCCCGUGAUGUGAUCACACAGUCAGCACUGUUGAGGACCCCCGGAUUAGUGGGAGAUCAAACCCAGCUCCCCUCUAGAAGAAGGAUUCGAGCCACAGACAGCUUGCCAGUAGCCAAUUAGGGUGUGGAGCCUUUGCCUGUCUCUAAAAAGAGCCUGUUGGCGACAAGGUGUAGGGGGCACAAGUUUACCUGAAACAGAUAUGGAAGGAAAACGUUAAGACUAUUUUUUUUUUAAAGAAACAACAGUCAAGCCUAAAAUUUGAGACCCCGAGGCAGCUUCCCGAGGGAGACUGCUCAGACAGGAACUGCAGGACAGAAGUGGAUGCCCCACAGACCCUGGCCCCCUCCCCAAGUCCAUCCCCUCUCUGUGGCAUGAGGAAGGCCGCGUCCGAGUUGACCUCUGAAUGUAUGUGAUGAGAGGCAGAGCUGGAUAUUGCAUUUCUAAGGCUUGCAUUGCUUUCCCCUCGCCCGCGGUUCUUGGCGCAUGGAAGAGGCGGUCCAGCCAUCUGAUGUUGAUCCUGUCUCA
This 952-nucleotide long non-coding RNA is filed under the name Homo sapiens (human). RNAcentral's name for it is "cap binding complex dependent translation initiation factor (ENSG00000282825.2)". Lineage: Eukaryota; Metazoa; Chordata; Mammalia; Primates; Hominidae. The record is from RNAcentral.